Molecule: long non-coding RNA, 852 nt
Organism: Lepidothrix coronata (blue-crowned manakin)
Lineage: Eukaryota; Metazoa; Chordata; Aves; Passeriformes; Pipridae
Exons: 4
Source: RefSeq, a predicted model, not a curated record
ACUAAUGUGUGUGCCUCAGUAGUGGACCAGCAAAAACUCUGCCUAGUGUGUAACCUGUUACUGAGCCAGUUGAGUUUAUCCUGACAGGCUGUCUCUAUUUCAUUAGAAGUCAGUCAGGAGUUACAGGUGUUUGCUUUUACAGGAAAAACGUGUUUAUAUUGGUAAUCCUGAGCCUGCACAGGAAGGCCUGAGGCACUGUCGUGCAUGGGCCAGUGCCUGAGGGCUGCAAGGGGCCCCAGACCUGCCCCUGGAUGCAACAUGGGCAGGAGGUGGAGCUGGGCACACUACCAGCCAGCUGUGCUGUGGUCAGGCCAGGCUGCCUGAGCCAGAGCAGGGUAGUGAAUCUGUCAAGAACCAAAAAUCGCCCAACUUAAUGCAUGUGCCCUGGGUUGCAUUCAGACCUAAACACCAGUGUAAAGUCCAGGUGCCCAGUGAGACUGAGUCCUUCCCAGUGGGUGUGAAGGCUGUCCAGCGGUGCUGAAGGGCAGGAUAGGUGGAUGGGGAAAUGAUUCUUGUGAAUUUUUCUGCCAGCAUGACAAGUAAUGGUGAAAGCAGCAGAGAGGACACUGAAGGAGAACGAGGAUGCUUCUGACUUUGCUUCUUUAAGAUAAUAUAGUGAGUGCAGGCAGCUUCCCAUGGUGAUCCACCUAGGCAGCAACAAAACUGAUAAAAUUGGAACUGUGGAUCCCUACUCCAGCAGACUGAGCACAGUGCUACCCUGUCUUGAAGCUACGUUUCAAUGUCCCUUCGAGGAAGCUGGUCCGUCUCCUCUCCAGAGUAUGACUGGUAGUGCCACUGCUCUUCGUUGAGUGCAGUAUUUUGGAUUUCAGUCUGUUAACUGGGUAGAUUCCA